This 247-nucleotide ribosomal RNA is filed under the name uncultured bacterium. RNAcentral describes it as "partial 16S ribosomal RNA". It matches the Rfam family "Bacterial small subunit ribosomal RNA", at positions 523 to 769 of the family's 1533-position model. The record is from RNAcentral.
AUACGUAGGGGGCUAGCGUUAUCCGGAUUUACUGGGUGUAAAGGGAGCGUAGGUGGCAAGGCAAGUCAGAUGUGAAAACCCGGGGCUCAACCCCGGGACUGCAUUUGAAACUGUCUAGCUAGAGUGCAGGAGAGGUAAGUGGAAUUCCUAGUGUAGCGGUGAAAUGCAUAGAUAUUAGGAGGAACACCAGUGGCGAAGGCGGCUUACUGGACUGUAACUGACACUGAGGCUCGAAAGCGUGGGUAUC